Dipodomys spectabilis (banner-tailed kangaroo rat) is the source of this 306-nucleotide long non-coding RNA. RefSeq lists it as uncharacterized. The transcript is spliced from 3 exons. The record is from RefSeq and is a predicted model, not a curated record. Lineage: Eukaryota; Metazoa; Chordata; Mammalia; Rodentia; Heteromyidae.
GAAUUUUCUCCUUGUGGAGGCUGCCUGAGCAGAGAGUGUGGAAGGCUAUGUACCUGGUUUGGAUUUUUCAGCGAGUCCUGACAAUGUGGGAUUCAAAAGAUCCGUUGAUGAAUUGCCUUGCUAAACAAGCGAGCCCUGGGAAAAUGAAGCUUAACAAAGAUCACCAUGAUACACUUAAUAACCAGCAGUGACCCUAUCAUCCAUGGGAACAGAUAGUCAUCAUGGCCUCCUGGUCUGGACCACAGGAGAGGCGGGUGCAUGCAGCUGAAAGGAGCAGCACAUGCUGCUGAAGGAGAUAGGUUGUCA